CGGGGUGCAGCAGGCGCGAAAACUUUACAAUGCUGGCAACAGCGAUAAGGGGACCUCGAGUGCCAGGAUACAAUCUUGGCUGUCGCGAUGCCUAAAAAGCAUUGCAUAGCAAGGGCCGGGCAAGACCGGUGCCAGCCGCCGCGGUAACACCGGCGGCUCGAGUGGUAACCGCUAUUAUUGGGUCUAAAGGGUCUGUAGCCGGCCGGAUAAGUCUUUUGGGAAAUCCAGCUGCUCAACAGUUGGGCUUUCAGAAGAUACUGUUCGGCUCGAGACCGGGAGAGGUGAGAGGUACUUCAGGGGUAGGGGUGAAAUCUUGUAAUCCUUGAAGGACCACCAGUGGCGAAGGCGUCUCACCAGAACGGAUCUGACGGCAAGGGACGAAAGCUAGGGGCACGAACCGGAUUAGAUACCCGGGUAGUCCUAGCCGUAAACGAUACUCGCUAGGUGUCAGCCACGGUGCGACCGUGGUUGGUGCCGUAGGGAAGCCGUGAAGCGAGCCACCUGGGAAGUACGGCCGCAAGGCUGAAACUUAAAGGAAUUGGCGGGGGAGCACAAGGGCGAAUCGCG
Molecule: ribosomal RNA, 567 nt
Filed under: uncultured archaeon
Lineage: Archaea
Description: bacterial SSU rRNA
Rfam family: Archaeal small subunit ribosomal RNA
Source: RNAcentral